Molecule: ribosomal RNA, 460 nt
Filed under: uncultured bacterium
Lineage: Bacteria
Description: partial 16S ribosomal RNA
Rfam family: Bacterial small subunit ribosomal RNA
Source: RNAcentral
CCUACGGGUGGCAGCAGUGAGGAAUAUUGGUCAAUGGACGAGAGUCUGAACCAGCCAAGUAGCGUGAAGGAUGACUGCCCUAUGGGUUGUAAACCUCUUUUAUCAAGGAAUAAAACGCGGCACGUGUGCCUUUUUGCAUGUACUUUAUGAAUAAGCAUCGGCUAACUACGUGCCAGCAGCCGCGGUAAUACGGAGGAUCCGAGCGUUAUCCGGAUUUAUUGGGUUUAAAGGGAGCGUAGAUGGGUUGUUAAGUCAGUUGUGAAAGUGUGCGGCUCAACCGUAAAAUUGCAAUUGAUACUGGCAGUCUGGAGUACAGUAGAGGUAGGCGGAAUUCGUAGUGUAGCGGUGAAAUGCGUAGAUAUUACGAAGAACCCCGAUGGCGAAGGCAGCUUACUAAACUGUGACUGACAUUGAUGCUCGAAAGUGUGGGUAGCAAACAGGAUUAGAUACCCGAGUAGUC